GUUUGAUCCUGGCUCAGGACGAACGCUGGCGGCGUGCCUAAUACAUGCAAGUCGAACGAACUCUGGUAUUGAUUGGUGCUUGCAUCAUGAUUUACAUUUGAGUGAGUGGCGAACUGGUGAGUAACACGUGGGAAACCUGCCCAGAAGCGGGGGAUAACACCUGGAAACAGAUGCUAAUACCGCAUAACAACUUGGACCGCAUGGUCCGAGUUUGAAAGAUGGCUUCGGCUAUCACUUUUGGAUGGUCCCGCGGCGUAUUAGCUAGAUGGUGGGGUAACGGCUCACCAUGGCAAUGAUACGUAGCCGACCUGAGAGGGUAAUCGGCCACAUUGGGACUGAGACACGGCCCAAACUCCUACGGGAGGCAGCAGUAGGGAAUCUUCCACAAUGGACGAAAGUCUGAUGGAGCAACGCCGCGUGAGUGAAGAAGGGUUUCGGCUCGUAAAACUCUGUUGUUAAAGAAGAACAUAUCUGAGAGUAACUGUUCAGGUAUUGACGGUAUUUAACCAGAAAGCCACGGCUAACUACGUGCCAGCAGCCGCGGUAAUACGUAGGUGGCAAGCGUUGUCCGGAUUUAUUGGGCGUAAAGCGAGCGCAGGCGGUUUUUUAAGUCUGAUGUGAAAGCCUUCGGCUCAACCGAAGAAGUGCAUCGGAAACUGGGAAACUUGAGUGCAGAAGAGGACAGUGGAACUCCAUGUGUAGCGGUGAAAUGCGUAAAUAUAUGGAAGAACACCAGUGGCGAAGGCGGCUGUCUGGUCUGUAACUGACGCUGAGGCUCGAAAGUAUGGGUAGCAAACAGGAUUAGAUACCCCGGUAGUCCAUACCGUAAACGAUGAAUGCUAAGUGUUGGAGGGUUUCCGCCCUUCAGUGCUGCAGCUAACGCAUUAAGCAUUCCGCCUGGGGAGUACGGCCGCAAGGCUGAAACUCAAAGGAAUUGACGGGGGCCCGCACAAGCGGUGGAGCAUGUGGUUUAAUUCGAAGCUACGCGAAGAACCUUACCAGGUCUUGACAUACUAUGCAAAUCUAAGAGAUUAGACGUUCCCUUCGGGGACAUGGAUACAGGUGGUGCAUGGUUGUCGUCAGCUCGUGUCGUGAGAUGUUGGGUUAAGUCCCGCAACGAGCGCAACCCUUAUUAUCAGUUGCCAGCAUUAAGUUGGGCACUCUGGUGAGACUGCCGGUGACAAACCGGAGGAAGGUGGGGAUGACGUCAAAUCAUCAUGCCCCUUAUGACCUGGGCUACACACGUGCUACAAUGGAUGGUACAACGAGUUGCGAACUCGCGAGAGUAAGCUAAUCUCUUAAAGCCAUUCUCAGUUCGGAUUGUAGGCUGCAACUCGCCUACAUGAAGUCGGAAUCGCUAGUAAUCGCGGAUCAGCAUGCCGCGGUGAAUACGUUCCCGGGCCUUGUACACACCGCCCGUCACACCAUGAGAGUUUGUAACACCCAAAGUCGGUGGGGUAACCUUUUAGGAACCAGCCGCCUAAGGUGGGACAGAUGAUUAGGGUG
RNAcentral lists this ribosomal RNA (1506 nucleotides) under Lactiplantibacillus pentosus. RNAcentral describes it as "partial 16S ribosomal RNA". It matches the Rfam family "Bacterial small subunit ribosomal RNA". The record is from RNAcentral. Lineage: Bacteria; Bacillati; Bacillota; Bacilli; Lactobacillales; Lactobacillaceae.